GACGAACGCUGGUGGCGUGCCUAAUACAUGCAAGUCGAACGCUGCUUAAGAAGAAACUUCGGUUUUUUCUUAAGCGGAGUGGCGGACGGGUGAGUAACACGUGGGGAACCUAUCCAUCAGCGGGGGAUAACACUUGGAAACAGGUGCUAAUACCGCAUACGGCUUUUUUUCACCUGAAAGAAAGCUCAAAGGCGCUUUACAGCGUCACUGAUGGCUGGCCCCGCGGUGCAUUAGCCAGUUGGUGAGGUAACGGCUCACCAAAGCAACGAUGCAUAGCCGACCUGAGAGGGUGAUCGGCCACACUGGGACUGAGACACGGCCCAGACUCCUACGGGAGGCAGCAGUAGGGAAUCUUCGGCAAUGGACGCAAGUCUGACCGAGCAACGCCGCGUGAGUGAAGAAGGUUUUCGGAUCGUAAAGCUCUGUUGUCAGCAAAGAACAGGAGAAAGAGGCAAUGCUUUUUCUAUGACGGUAGCUGACCAGAAAGCCGCGGCUAACUACGUGCCAGCAGCCGCGGUAAUACGUAGGUGGCAAGCGUUGUCCGGAUUUAUUGGGCGUAAAGCGAGCGCAGGCGGUGAUUUAAGUCUGAUGUGAAAGCCCCCAGCUCAACUGGGGAGGGUCAUUGGAAACUGGAUCACUUGAGUGCAGAAGAGGAGAGUGGAAUUCCAUGUGUAGCGGUGAAAUGCGUAGAUAUAUGGAGGAACACCAGUGGCGAAGGCGGCUCUCUGGUCUGUAACUGACGCUGAGACUCGAAAGCGUGGGUAGCAAACAGGAUUAGAUACCCUGGUAGUCCACGCCGUAAACGAUGAGUGCUAAGUGUUGGAGGGCUUCCGCCCUUCAGUGCUGCAGUUAACGCAUUAAGCACUCCGCCUGGGGAGUACGACCGCAAGGUUGAAACUCAAAGGAAUUGACGGGGGCCCGCACAAG
Molecule: ribosomal RNA, 927 nt
Filed under: uncultured bacterium
Lineage: Bacteria
Description: bacterial SSU rRNA
Rfam family: Bacterial small subunit ribosomal RNA
Source: RNAcentral